CAGUGAGUAGUUUAAUUAAAAUAUUAAUUUUGGGGAUUAAAGUUGAGAAUUUUUCUUCUUACUGA
RNAcentral lists this transfer RNA (65 nucleotides) under Pseudomictis brevicornis. RNAcentral describes it as "tRNA-Pro". Lineage: Eukaryota; Metazoa; Arthropoda; Insecta; Hemiptera; Coreidae. The record is from RNAcentral.